This 468-nucleotide ribosomal RNA is filed under the name uncultured bacterium. Its description in RNAcentral is "partial 16S ribosomal RNA". It matches the Rfam family "Bacterial small subunit ribosomal RNA", at positions 28 to 507 of the family's 1533-position model. The record is from RNAcentral.
GACGAACGCUGGCGGCGUGCUUAACACAUGCAAGUCGAACGGAAAGGCCCUGCUUUUGUGGGGUGCUCGAGUGGCGAACGGGUGAGUAACACGUGAGUAACCUGCCCUUGACUUUGGGAUAACUUCAGGAAACUGGGGCUAAUACCGGAUAGGAGCUCCUGCUGCAUGGUGGGGGUUGGAAAGUUUCGGCGGUUGGGGAUGGACUCGCGGCUUAUCAGCUUGUUGGUGGGGUAGUGGCUUACCAAGGCUUUGACGGGUAGCCGGCCUGAGAGGGUGGCCGGCCACAUUGGGACUGAGAUACGGCCCAGACUCCUACGGGCGGCAGCAGUGGGGAAUAUUGCACAAUGGGCGGAAGCCUGAUGCAGCAACGCCGCGUGCGGGAUGACGGCCUUCGGGUUGUAAACCGCUUUCGCCUGUGACGAGGCGUGAGUGACGGUAAUGGGUAAAGAAGCACCGGCUAACUACGUG